Lotus japonicus is the source of this 3982-nucleotide RNA transcript. It is a transcript of the gene named DNA topoisomerase 2-like, with no coding region annotated. The record is from RefSeq and is a predicted model, not a curated record. Lineage: Eukaryota; Viridiplantae; Streptophyta; Magnoliopsida; Fabales; Fabaceae. The transcript is spliced from 18 exons.
UAUUUGUUUUCUAUCACCAAACACGAACGCUUCUUCUCUGUUCUCAGUCUCACUCUGUUCUCUCACGCGACGGCGAGUCACGCCUCCGCCUCUCUCUGUCGAUUCACGGCCGCACGGCGGCGGCGCACGCCUCUGGAUCUCUCUCGUUCCUCGUUCGUGCCUCUUCCUGUUCUCCAAGACUCCAACGAACCAACAACGAAGCUCAGUGCUCUCCAACGAACCAACAACGACAGUGCCUCUCCCUCUCAACUGAUUGAAGCUCUCACUCUCAGUCACUCACUCAAAGUCAAAACUCAAAAGAACUGGCAGGAUUGUUGGACUCUUGUUAUUGUUGGUUUAAGUAAUUUGCUGGACUUUUGCAAGGUGCUGUUUAGCCUCACUGAUAUUCAAGGUCUGGAUCCGCCCCUGCCCUGAUCCCACUGCUAAUCUCACCCUCUCAAACCCCCUCCUCCGAAUCAGACGCCAAUCUCCUCUCCCACCGCCAUGAAACUCUGUGACAUUCCAAACCUCGAAGACGCCAAUGAAGCUGGUGGACCGAACCGUAAACAGUGUACCCUGAUAUUAACAGAGGGGAUUUCUGCGAUGAGCCUUGUUAUGGCUGCGCUCUCUGACGCGCAACGGGACUAUUUUGGUGUUUUUGCAUUGAAUGGCAAACCUCUAAAUGCGAUGAAGGCAAACCUUGAGGAGUUAAUUAAAAAGGUUAAAGCUCGAGGUAUAUUGAAAAUUCUCGGAUUUAAACCAGGGAAAGAGAGUAUAGACGAGUCCAUGGAGUCUUUUAGAUAUGGUCGGGUGAUGUUUAUGGCUGAUCAGGACUAUGAUGGAUCUCACAUCAAGGGGUUAUUGAUAAACUUCUUUUAUAUACUCAGCCCAUCACUGCUUAAAAUUCCACAUUUUUUGUCUGAAUUGAUCACUCCCAUAAUAAGGGCUUUUCAUUGCAAUGGGAUUCAAAAAUUAUCAUUUUAUUCAUAUCCCGAAUAUGAAAAAUGGUGGAAGAACUGGGGGAAUUCUGAUUGGAGAAUCAAGUACUAUAAGGGGCUGGGUAGCUUUACUCAUGAGGAAGGGAAAGAAUUCUUUCAAAAUGUUGAAAUUCAGAGAAAAUACUUUGUUUGGAGCAGCGAUGAGGAUGGAGAUGCCAUUAAUAUUGCAUUCUCGAAGUCAAAGACUAGAGAAAGGAGGGAAUUGAUGCUUAAAUUUAAGUCUAGCGAUUAUCGCGAUUAUACAGAUCUUAGUAUCUGCUACAAGGAUUUUCUACAGAAAGAAUUUAUAUUGUACUCGAUGGCGAGUGUACGGAGGUGCAUUCCUUCGUUGAUAGAUGGUCAGAAGCCCUCCCAAAGGAAGAUCCUUUACGGUGCAUUCAAGAGGGAGUUGUUCACUGAAAUAAGAGUGGACAAUCUUAUUGGUUAUGUAGCUGAGCAUUCUGCUUACCACCAUAGUGAAUCCAGUUUGGCUACCACCCUUAUAAGAAUGGCUCAAGAUUAUGUUGGCAGCAUGAAUAUAAAUCUCCUGAUGGCAAACGGUCAAUUUGGUACUCGUAACCAGUGUGGCUCAGACCAUGCAUCUCCAAGAUACAUAUACACUGAGCUUAACCCUAUUACUCGUUUCCUCUUCCCUGAGAUUGACAAUAAACUUCUCAAAUACUUGAAUGAGGAUGGAAUCUCAGUUGAACCUGAGUGGUACCUUCCUAUCAUACCUUUAGUGCUUGUCAAUGGUGUUAGCGGAAUUGCGACAGGCUGGAGUUGUUCCAUCCCCUGCUACAACCCCAAGGAUAUCAUUGCAAACAUCAAGCGUUUCUUAAAUGAUGACGAGUUGCAACCAAUGGUUCCCUGGUACAAAGGAUUUAAGGGAACCAUUGAUAAAAGUAAAGAGGGGGGGUAUGUAGUGAGUGGUAAAGUUGGAGUAAUUGAUGAUCAAAGUUUUAGAAUAACAGAGCUGCCCAUCGGCACCUGGACUCAAGAUUAUGAGAAGUUCCUUAAGGAUCAUCGUCUCAUUGAGGCUUUCUGGCAGAAUGGAGAUAAUAACAUGGUUGAUAUAAAAGUCAAACUGAAGCUGCAAAGAAAGAUGACGGAAAAGGAGCUUCUCGUUGAGUUCAAGUUGAUUUCCAAAAUCCCCAGAAGCGGAAUGCAUCUUUUUAAUAGGAAUGCGAGAAUUCAGAAAUAUGAUAGUCCUGAGCAAAUUCUUCAAGAAUUCUGUAAAUAUAGGCUUGAGUGCUAUGAUAUGAGAACAGCGCCUAAUGUUCGACAACUUAAAGACCAAGUUAGAUUCAUUUCAGAAGUUGUAUCUAACAAGAUUGUGCUGAGCAAAAACAUGAGCAAAGCUGAAUUGGUGUUGAAACUGAAGGGUAAUGGUUUCAAACCUUUGUCACAGAAAGGGGAAAAUGUUGGAGGCGCCAAAAACUAUGAACAUCUUUUGCCCAUGUGCACUUUGGCCUUUGAAAGUCUUAAGAAGCUGCAAGCUGAAAAGGAGAAGGAGUUGGAUAAUUUAAUGAGAGCAGAUCUGUGGGCUUAUCAAAAAAAAAAAUCUAUGGAUCUGUGGUUGGAGGACCUAUUAGAGCUUGAGAAAAAACUAAAUGUAGGGGAAGGUAUGUCCAGAAAUCUACAUUUUCCGGAGCAACUACUUGACUACUCUCAUAUUGAAGAGUAUAAGUUGUGCACUAAAUUGAAAGUAACAUUGAGAAGCUAUCAGCAGCAAGGUAUAAAUUGGUUAGCUUUUCUAAAGCGUUCCAAGCUUCAUGGAAUUUUAUGUGAUGAUAUGGGGCUUGGUAAGACACUUCAAGCAUCAGCCAUUGUAGCCUCUGAUAUAGCAGAACAUCAAGGGAAUGGUGAUCUUCUGCCAUCUUUAAUAAUUUGCCCAUCAACACUUGUUAGGCACUGGGCCUUUGAGAUAGAGAAGUAUAUUGAGGAUCCAGUGAUAUCUAGUCUUCAGUAUGUUGGUUCGGCACGGAUGCUUCUUCGAGCUAAUUUGUGCGAACAUAAUGUCAUUAUAACAUCAUAUGAUGUUGUCCGUCAAGAUAUUCAAUAUUUGGGAAAGCUGUUAUGGAAUUACUGUAUUUUAGAUGAAGGGCAUAUAAUCCAAAAUGCUAAGUCUAAGGUUACACUUGCUGUAAAGCAAUUGAAAGCCCAACACCGCUUAAUAUUGAGUGGGACACCAAUACAGAAUAACAUAAUGGAUUUGUGGUCUCUUUUUGAUUUUCUGAUGCCUGGUUUCCUUGGAGCAGAAAGACAGUUCCAAGGUACAUAUGGAAAACCACUUUUAGCUGCUAGAGAUCCAAAGCGCUCUGCUAAGGAUGCUGAAGCAGGAGCACUUGCUAUGAAGGCAUUGCAUAAGCAGGUUGUGCCUUUCCUCCUUCGAAGGACAAAGGAUGAAGUCUUGUCUGAUUUGCCGGACAGAAUAAUUCAUGACAUAUACUGUAAUUUGGGCGAUGUACAACGUAAACUUUAUGAACAGUUUUCUGAUUCUCGUGCAAAGCAAGAAAUGUCGUCUGUUGUAACGACAAACGAACCUGCUGCAGCAGAAGGAAGUAGCCAUACUACUAAAGCGGCUUCACAUGUUUUCCAGGCACUCCAAUACUUGCUAAAACUUUGCAGUCAUCCGUUGCUUGUUGUUGAUGGGAAGAUUCUAGAUUCAAUUCCUGGCUUAUUCCCAAAACUGUUUCCUGCUGGCUCUGAUGCCAAUUUAGAACUUGGGAAUCUCCGUCACUCUCCAAAAUUAGAUGCUCUUUUUGAAAUUCUUAAAAAGUCUGGAAUUGGAGUUGAUGCUUUUUGGGGCUAAUUUAUUUCUGUAGAUUAAUAAAUGGUUUACUGAAUUUGUCAUUUAACAAUAGCUUGUUUUGCAGGCUUUUCUAGAUAUAAUUGAAAAAUGUUUGUUUCAGACGCACAUGAAGAAUGUCAAAUAUUUGAGGCUGGAUGGAUCAAAUGAGCCAGAAACGCAUUUUAAAAUCGUCCAAGAUUUCAAUUCAGACCCUAACAUUAAUGUCUUGCUGCUU